CAGAUUUUAAAAUCAUUUGGCACAUUUGUUCACCAUCAUUGGACGGUGUGUCGUGCGAAAUAAUUACGUCGAUAUCUCCAAGGUCAAGGUCACACUUUGAGUUCAAAGGUCAAAAAUGGCCAUAAAUGAGCUUGUCCUGGCCAUAACUAUGUCAUUCAUUGUGAGAUUUUAAAAUCAUUUGGCACAUUUGUUCACCAUCAUGGGACGGUGUGUCCCACGAAAGAAUCACGUCAAUAUCUCCAAUGUCAAGGUCGCCACGACUAAAAAUAGAUUUAAAAAAAAAAAAAAAAACUUACAAAG
Molecule: long non-coding RNA, 300 nt
Organism: Dreissena polymorpha
Lineage: Eukaryota; Metazoa; Mollusca; Bivalvia; Myida; Dreissenidae
Exons: 2
Source: RefSeq, a predicted model, not a curated record